This is a long non-coding RNA of Entelurus aequoreus (snake pipefish), 755 nucleotides long. RefSeq lists it as uncharacterized. The record is from RefSeq and is a predicted model, not a curated record. The transcript is spliced from 4 exons. Lineage: Eukaryota; Metazoa; Chordata; Actinopteri; Syngnathiformes; Syngnathidae.
ACUGACCAAAGACCAGAAUCUGUGGAUGUUCAAGAUCUCAUUGAUAAGCCUUUCGAGACUCUUGAGCAGCUGAAGGCCUUCUGUGAACGGCUCGACACUGAUCUUCUGCUCAGAAAGCAGCUGGUAAUUAGUUUUAAUUCCCCACUGCAAAAAUAUCUUGCUCAGUUAUCAAAAAACAAUUUCUAAUCAAGUACAAUAUUGUUGUUUAUUUAUUUGUAUAGGUGAAAGCUCUUACUGCUCUUGGUGGGCAGAAUUUGGCAGACACGGUGAGGACAAUGCUGAGGAAAAUUGCCACAAACAAAGUCCUGGAGCAGCUUGGCCUCCGUGGAAAGUCAGGAAAAGUGGCGUUUGAGGACUUGCCCCUUUACAGAAUAAUAAAUAAGGCAUGCAGGGGUGUUUACAAGCAGACGACCACAGCUGAAGUGGAUUGUGAGCUUGGAGAGGUCCUGAAACUGGCCACUUUUCGAAAGGGAGGUUCAAAAUUUGAGGAGAAGAGGAGGAAUUAAGAGGGAGGACAAAAAAGGAAAAAGAAACAAGCAAAAGAACAGAGUGAGAUGAGAGGAUUUGGGUUUCACUGCUUGGGCUGCUGCCCCCGCGACCUGACCUCAGAUAAGCGGAAGAAGAUGGAUGGAUGGAUGGAUGGAUUUACUUCCAGGAAGAGAACCAAGAAGGGGCAGGAUACACUGACGCGCACGACCAAGACCACUGCAUUCCAUUCCAUUUGUAUUAUAGUUAUCACUAAUAAAGAAUUAUUU